RNAcentral lists this ribosomal RNA (531 nucleotides) under uncultured bacterium. Its description in RNAcentral is "bacterial SSU rRNA". It matches the Rfam family "Bacterial small subunit ribosomal RNA", at positions 979 to 1509 of the family's 1533-position model. The record is from RNAcentral.
CCUUGACAUACUAAGGACUUUCCAGAGAUGGAUUGGUGCCUUCGGGAACUUAGAUACAGGUGCUGCAUGGCUGUCGUCAGCUCGUGUCGUGAGAUGUUGGGUUAAGUCCCGNAACGAGCGCAACCCUUUUCCUUAUUUGCCAGCGGGUCAUGCCGGGAACUUUAAGGAUACUGCCAGUGACAAACUGGAGGAAGGCGGGGACGACGUCAAGUCAUCAUGGCCCUUACGGCCAGGGCUACACACGUGCUACAAUGGUCGGUACAAAGGGUUGCUACCUCGCGAGAGGAUGCUAAUCUCAAAAAGCCGAUCGUAGUCCGGAUCGCAGUCUGCAACUCGACUGCGUGAAGUCGGAAUCGCUAGUAAUCGCGGAUCAGAAUGCCGCGGUGAAUACGUUCCCGGGCCUUGUACACACCGCCCGUCACACCAUGGGAGUUUGUUGCACCAGAAGUAGGUAGUCUAACCGCAAGGAGGACGCUUACCACGGUGUGGCCGAUGACUGGGGUGAAGUCGUAACAAGGUAGGCGUAGAUGA